This 405-nucleotide ribosomal RNA is filed under the name Triticum aestivum (bread wheat). RNAcentral describes it as "partial small subunit ribosomal RNA". The record is from RNAcentral. Lineage: Eukaryota; Viridiplantae; Streptophyta; Magnoliopsida; Poales; Poaceae.
AUGGAAUCAUUUCCGCCGAAUGUGACGUUCAUAAGAGAUUUAAUUGGACCCAGACUACAAUCGUGGAACAUUCUGCUUCAGCGGUUAUCCACGGUGCAAUUGUCACAUGGGUCUGAUGUAUUCCGAUGGAACCUCCAUGGGAAUGGACAAUUCUCAGCGGAGUCUAUGUAUAGAGCGUUAAUCCAGUCUGAUGUGCCAGUUGAUAAUAACAAAAAGAUGUGGAAGAUGAAGAUACCACUUAAGAAUAAAAUAUUUGCGUGGUAUCUUCGUCGCGGAGUCAUUCUUACUAAAGAUAACCUUAUUAAGAGGAAUUGGCAUGGAAGUCCGCAAUGUGUCUUUUGUCAUCAUGAGGAGACAAUAAAACAUUUAUUCUUCCAAUGCAAAUUAGCUCGUUCUAUAUGGUAA